Long non-coding RNA from Arabidopsis thaliana (thale cress), 256 nucleotides. RefSeq annotates it as other RNA. The record is from RefSeq. The transcript has a single exon. NCBI's taxonomy places the organism in Eukaryota, Viridiplantae, Streptophyta, Magnoliopsida, Brassicales, Brassicaceae.
GGAGAAGUGUUGUUACCUGAAGAAGUAAGAAGACUGAGAGUAGAAAUCAGGAGUGAAAGGAACGGUUUUGAAGCUGCUCUGCAUUGUUGUUGAUUCUUAGAAGAAGAAGAUGAUGAAAGAUGAUGACACAAAGGGAAUCAGGGGAAAAAGAAGUGAGCUUUCUUAAGGAGUUGGGUUAUCAGAAGAAGAAAGUGAAGUUAAAAGGGAAGGAGGGAGUGAGGAGAGAAUUCAUUAAAGAGGUGAAAAGAUGGCGAAU